UCACACCAUGGGAGUGGGUUGCACCAGAAGUAGAUAGCUUAACCUUCGGGAGGGCGUUUACCACGGUGUGAUUCAUGACUGGGGUGAAGUCGUAACAAGGUAACCCUAGGGGAACCUGGGGUUGGAUCACCUCCUU
Molecule: ribosomal RNA, 136 nt
Filed under: Aeromonas hydrophila
Lineage: Bacteria; Pseudomonadati; Pseudomonadota; Gammaproteobacteria; Aeromonadales; Aeromonadaceae
Description: partial 16S ribosomal RNA
Rfam family: Bacterial small subunit ribosomal RNA
Source: RNAcentral